UGGGGAAUUUUCCGCAAUGGGCGCAAGCCUGACGGAGCGAUACCGCGUGAGGGAGGAAGGCUUUUGGGUUGUAAACCUCUUUUCUCAAGGAAGAAGCACUGACGGUACUUGAGGAAUCAGCAUCGGCUAACUCCGUGCCAGCAGCCGCGGUAAUACGGAGGAUGCAAGCGUUAUUCGGAAUUAUUGGGCGUAAAGCGUCCGCAGGUGGUAAGGCAAGUGGGGUGUGAAAGCCGCCAGCUUAACUGGCGGAGGCCAUCCCAAACUGCUUCACUUGAGGCCUGUAGAGGUAUGUGGAAUUGCCGGUGUAGUGGUGAAAUGCGUAGAGAUCGGCAGGAAAACCCAGGGGGAAACCAGCAUACUGGACAGGACCUGACACUCAGGUGCGACAGCGUGGGGAGCGAACCGGAUUAGAUACCCGCGUAGUCC
This 426-nucleotide ribosomal RNA is filed under the name uncultured prokaryote. Its description in RNAcentral is "bacterial SSU rRNA". It matches the Rfam family "Bacterial small subunit ribosomal RNA", at positions 355 to 796 of the family's 1533-position model. The record is from RNAcentral.